CAGAACCUAAACAGUAACUAUGGCAACGCAAGCCACUCCAAUAAGACUAACACAGAUUAUUUCCAGCACAAUAGCUUGGCUUGUGCUCAGAAAGCAGAGGUAAUGUUGGCUGAAAGCAAUUCCUGAAUUGGGGGGAGCGGGGGACGCAGGGCGGGAUAAAAUCCUCUGGCGGUGGAACGAGAACUAGGUUUCUGGUUUCAGGCCUCUAGGAUUCAGUGGCAAGAUGAGUUAACUACUGGAUUAAUACCUUGCCACUCCACAGUAAUGAACUGGCAGUCUCUUCAUCGUCUGCUUUAGUUUCUUCACUUCCAACCACAAAGUCAUUCAAACCCCAGGACUCCUAAGAACAGUAAAAAAGAACACGCGCUGUGAAAAUUAUAGAAUUGGGCAGUUUGAACAGACAUUAGGGAUCACCUGGACUGGGAGCCUCUCGAAGACAGGAGAACAAGCUACAUGUUUUGCACAGAGCUGAGGACCUGAUCCAAGCUAAAAGAUGUCAAUGCUGCAGGCUCUCUCACAUGCCAAGAGAGGAAAAGUCCCAGAUAGGCUGGUCUGAGUCACUGAGAACUCACAUUACACCCUGGAUCGCCCAGAACUCAGCGAACUCAGCAGGCACACAGCCUGCUCAGAUGGGACGAUGAGACACAGAACUGGUAAGGAGAGGACGAGGGUUUGGACAAAGGCAGCUUACUUCCUGGAUCCCCGCCCUUAGCAGUGCACACAGC
RNAcentral lists this long non-coding RNA (725 nucleotides) under Bos indicus x Bos taurus (hybrid cattle). RNAcentral describes it as "lncRNA (ENSBIXG00005028640.1)". The record is from RNAcentral. Lineage: Eukaryota; Metazoa; Chordata; Mammalia; Artiodactyla; Bovidae.